GUAGUCUCGCACAGAUGCAUAUCAAUAAGCGGAGGAAAAGAAACUAACAAGGAUUCCCCUAGUAACGGCGAGUGAAGCGGGAAGAGCUCAAAUUUGAAAUCUUAAAGGGUUUCCCUUUACGAAUUGUAGUUUAAAGAAGUGUUUUCUGUUGAGGUUUUGGUAAAAGUUCUUUGGAAUAGGACAUCAUAGAGGGUGAGAAUCCCGUAUUUGACCUUUACUUUCAACUUUGUGAUACACUUUCAAAGAGUCGGAUUGUUUGGGAAUGCAGUCCAAAAUGGGUGGUAAAUUUCAUCUAAAGCUAAAUAUUGGCGAGAGACCGAUAGCGAACAAGUACCGUGAGGGAAAGAUGAAAAGAACUUUGAAAAGAGAGUUAAACAGUACGUGAAAUUGUCAAAAGGGAAGCGUUUGACACCAGUGUUGUUUUUCUGAAAAUCAAUUAAAGAACUGUUUAUGCUAAGCUGUUUAGACUUUAUCAGCUACUGUUUAGUUUUGAGCUUUUCUUUAAUGCACUUUUCAGUUAACAAGUCAACAUCAAUUUCUUUUGCUGUAAAAAAGCUUGAGGAAGGUGGCUUGAGAUUCGUCUUAAGUGUUUAUAGCCUCUUGCCUAUGCAGUCGGAGAGAUUGAGGUCUGCAGCGUAGAUCCUUCGGGGCUAAAUGCAUUUGUGCUAAGUUAUAGCAUUUUAUAGACAACUUGUUGACUAUGAUUUGUCUUGUAGCUUACUCGCUUAUGUUAUUUUACCUACGCUUAGGAUGUUGAUCUGUAGUGCGUGCGC
This 773-nucleotide ribosomal RNA is filed under the name uncultured Neocallimastigales. Its description in RNAcentral is "partial large subunit ribosomal RNA". It matches the Rfam family "Eukaryotic large subunit ribosomal RNA", at positions 24 to 647 of the family's 3401-position model. Lineage: Eukaryota; Fungi; Neocallimastigomycota; Neocallimastigomycetes; Neocallimastigales. The record is from RNAcentral.